Long non-coding RNA from Saimiri boliviensis boliviensis (Bolivian squirrel monkey), 1124 nucleotides. RefSeq lists it as uncharacterized. Lineage: Eukaryota; Metazoa; Chordata; Mammalia; Primates; Cebidae. The record is from RefSeq and is a predicted model, not a curated record.
AAAAUCUAUCUUUUGUAAAUUGCCCAGUCUCAGGUUGCUCACACUGAAACCCAGCUCCCUUUCCCCUGGUGCAAAGAACGGUGGUUUCUCCAAAACUGAAGUCGGACAUUAUCUGAAGUAUCAGAUCCUCCAGAAAAGGGACCCGAAGCCCUCUUUGUAAUUUCUGCAUUAGUGUUGCUCUCCUGACAAGCAGGAAGUCAGCCAAGGAGUGUCUUUAAAUGGAAGCUGUGCACACGAGGAGCAAAUGCAUUAAAAAGUUGCUGACGGGCAUGAAAUGCUUUGAUGUGAAGAUGGAAAACUCCAAGCAGGAAGGAUUUUAAGCUUUUUUGAGUCUGAUUGACUCUGUGGUUUCUCAGCACAGUUAUUCCAUGGGCUAAAAUAAAUGCAGAAAUGGUAUUUUGAGAUCACAGCUGCAGAGGGGAUUGUGGUGAAUUUCAAUGAAAAUCCAGUCGAAUCUUGAGGUUCAGAGCUUAAAAAAGGAAAGGACAUGAGGGAAGUAAUACUGUUGCUUGAAAUUCAUUGCUUUUGUCCAAAAGAAACUCCCCUUUAUUUUUAGGAGAAAUGUCAAAUCUUUGCAGUGUGGUAGAUGCUCCCACAAACGUUUCUUCCCAGAUAGGAGAUAAAUGUUGGAAAGAAGCAAUUUACUGAGUAUGCUGAUAGAGAUGAAGUUCAGAGACAGGCAAGCUUACACAAAAGUAAUGAUGUUUUACAUUUUAUCUUUACAAAUGAGUUUCUUAUAGUGGUCAAUGGCAAACAGUUUCAUACAAAGCUUGCUUCAAUAGGCAAUGGUUUGGUGCCAAUAUGUUAGCUAUUUACUUUGACCACCGUAUGCAUGAAGGAGAAUAAAAAUUAAGAAUACUCAAGCGGAACCUCCAACAUAAAUAUCAUUUUCCACAAAAAGUGAUAUAGGGAUAGACUAAGGUUAAAUGGGACCAGAUAUAUGAAGAGAUCUCAGAAAUGUUUGCACAAUAAUGCAGAUACUCAUUUUAAAUAGAGUUUUAAUGAGGAAUUAAACAAAGUAGAAUAAAAUCCUGAGCAAGAAUGUGUCCUUCUGAGAAUCUGGAUUUUGAAUUCUGGCUCCACAGAACUUGUCAGAUAUAUGACAUUAAACAAGAUACUUCAAA